This 486-nucleotide ribosomal RNA is filed under the name uncultured bacterium. RNAcentral describes it as "bacterial SSU rRNA". It matches the Rfam family "Bacterial small subunit ribosomal RNA", at positions 8 to 507 of the family's 1533-position model. The record is from RNAcentral.
AGAGUUUGAUCAUGGCUCAGGAUGAACGCUGGCGGCGUGCCUAAUACAUGCAGGUCGAGCGAACCACUUCGGUGGUGAGCGGCGAACGGGUGAGUAACACGUAGGUUAUCUGCCCAUCAGACGGGGACAACGAUUGGAAACGAUCGCUAAUACCGGAUAGGACGAAAGUUUAAAGGUGCUUCGGCACCACUGAUGGAUGAGCCUGCGGCGCAUUAGCUAGUUGGUAGGGUAAAGGCCUACCAAGGCGAUGAUGCGUAGCCGACCUGAGAGGGUGAACGGCCACACUGGGACUGAGACACGGCCCAGACUCCUACGGGAGGCAGCAGUAGGGAAUCUUCGGCAAUGGGCGAAAGCCUGACCGAGCAACGCCGCGUGAAUGAUGAAGGCCUUCGGGUUGUAAAAUUCUGUUAUAAGGGAAGAAUGGCUCUAGUAGGAAAUGGCUAGAGUGUGACGGUACCUUAUGAGAAAGCCACGGCUAACUACGUG